CAAGGCUUGACAUACACCGGAAAGCAUUAGAGAUAGUGCCCCCCUUGUGGUCGGUGUACAGGUGGUGCAUGGCUGUCGUCAGCUCGUGUCGUGAGAUGUUGGGUUAAGUCCCGCAACGAGCGCAACCCUUGUCCCGUGUUGCCAGCAGGCCCUUGUGGUGCUGGGGACUCACGGGAGACCGCCGGGGUCAACUCGGAGGAAGGUGGGGACGACGUCAAGUCAUCAUGCCCCUUAUGUCUUGGGCUGCACACGUGCUACAAUGGCCGGUACAAUGAGCUGCGAUACCGCGAGGUGGAGCGAAUCUCAAAAAGCCGGUCUC
RNAcentral lists this ribosomal RNA (319 nucleotides) under Streptomyces sp. RNAcentral's name for it is "bacterial SSU rRNA". It matches the Rfam family "Bacterial small subunit ribosomal RNA", at positions 975 to 1289 of the family's 1533-position model. Lineage: Bacteria; Bacillati; Actinomycetota; Actinomycetes; Kitasatosporales; Streptomycetaceae. The record is from RNAcentral.